CGCACAUUGCGCCCUCUGGUAUUCCGGGGGGCAUGCCUGUUCGAGCGUCAUCAAAACUUCUCAGGUUUCGGUUCUUUACCGACUCCUGGUCAUGGAAUCGGAGGUGCCACGCGCCUCCUCUCCGAAAUCCAGUGGCGAAUCGAGGAUGCUGCGGACGUAGUAAAGAAUACCCGUCAAGCACGCGUCCGGAAUUCCGCCAUAACCCCCAUCAAUAUUCCAGUUUGACCUCGGAUCAGGUAGGGAUACCCGCUGAACUUAA
Molecule: unclassified non-coding RNA, 259 nt
Filed under: Paurocotylis sp.
Lineage: Eukaryota; Fungi; Ascomycota; Pezizomycetes; Pezizales; Tarzettaceae
Description: partial contains 5.8S ribosomal RNA, internal transcribed spacer 2, and large subunit ribosomal RNA
Source: RNAcentral